GAUGAAGAACGCAGCGAAAUGCGAUAAGUAAUGUGAAUUGCAGAAUUCAGUGAAUCAUCGAAUCUUUGAACGCACAUUGCGCCCGCCAGCAUUCUGGCGGGCAUGCCUGUUCGAGCGUCAUUUCAACCCUCGAGCCCCCCCGGGGGCCUCGGUGUUGGGGGACGGCACACCAGCCGCCCCCGAAAUGCAGUGGCGACCCCGCCGCAGCCUCCCCUGCGUAGUAGCACACACCUCGCACCGGAGCGCGGAGGCGGUCACGCCGUAAAACGCCCAACUUUCUUAGAGUUGACCUCGGAUCAGGUAGGAAUACCCGCUGAACUUAAGCAUAUCAAUAGGCGGAGGA
RNAcentral lists this unclassified non-coding RNA (343 nucleotides) under soil metagenome. Its description in RNAcentral is "partial contains 5.8S ribosomal RNA, internal transcribed spacer 2, and large subunit ribosomal RNA". The stretch from base 1 to 120 matches the Rfam family "5.8S ribosomal RNA", at positions 35 to 154 of the family's 154-position model. The record is from RNAcentral.